CGCAGCCGCGGUAAUUCCAGCUCCAAUAGCGUAUAUUAAAGUUGUUACAGUUAAAAAGCUCGUAGUUGAAUUUCGGGAUCAAUACGUCGGUCGUGCUUCGGUACGUACUGGCGUAAUUGAUUUCUCCCUUCUGACGAACCAUGAUGUCAUUAACUUGGUGUCAUGGGAAAUCAGGACUGUUACUUUGAAAAAAUUAGAGUGUUUAAAGCAGGCUCACGCUUGAAUACAUUAGCAUGGAAUAAUGAAAUAGGACGUUCGAUCCUAUUUUGUUGGUUUUUAGGAUCAACGUAAUGAUUAAUAGGGAUAGUUGGGGGCAUUAGUAUUCAAUUGUCAGAGGUGAAAUUCUUGGAUUUAUUGAAGACUAACUACUGCGAAAGCAUUUGCCAAGGAUGUUUUCAUUAAUCAAGAACGAAAGUUAGGGGAUCGAAGACGAUCAGAUACCGUCGUAGUCUUAACCAUAAACUAUGCCGACU
This 473-nucleotide unclassified non-coding RNA is filed under the name uncultured Glomus. RNAcentral describes it as "SSU rRNA". It matches the Rfam family "Eukaryotic small subunit ribosomal RNA", at positions 569 to 1047 of the family's 1831-position model. Lineage: Eukaryota; Fungi; Glomeromycota; Glomeromycetes; Glomerales; Glomeraceae. The record is from RNAcentral.